GACGUCGCAUGCUCCCGGCCGCCAUGGCGGCCGCGGGAAUUCNNNUNCCUACGGGAGGCAGCAGUGGGGAAUUUUCCGCAAUGGGCGAAAGCCUGACGGAGCAACGCCGCGUGAGGGAUGAAGGCCUCUGGGCUGUAAACCUCUUUUAUCAAGGAAGAAGAUCUGACGGUACUUGAUGAAUAAGCCACGGCUAAUUCCGUGCCAGCAGCCGCGGUAAUACGGGAGUGGCAAGCGUUAUCCGGAAUUAUUGGGCGUAAAGCGUCCGCAGGCGGCCCUUCAAGUCUGCUGUUAAAAAGUGGAGCUUAACUCCAUCAUGGCAGUGGAAACUGUUGGGCUUGAGUGUGGUAGGGGCAGAGGGAAUUCCCGGUGUAGCGGUGAAAUGCGUAGAUAUCGGGAAGAACACCAGUGGCGAAGGCGCUCUGCUGGGCCAUCACUGACGCUCAUGGACGAAAGCCAGGGGAGCGAAGGGGAUUAGAUACCCCUGUAGUCCUGGCCGUAAACGAUGAACACUAGGUGUCGGGGGAAUCGACCCCCUCGGUGUCGUAGCCAACGCGUUAAGUGUUCCGCCUGGGGAGUACGCACGCAAGUGUGAAACUCAAAGGAAUUGACGGAUCACUAGUGAAUUCGCGGCCGCCUGCAGGUCGACCAUAUGGGAGAGCUCCCAACGCGUUGGAUGCAUAGCUUGAGUAUUCUAUAGUGUCACCUAAAUAGCUUGGCGUAAUCAUGGUCAUAGCUGUUUCCUGUGUGAAAUUGUUAUCCGCUCACAAUUCCACACAACAUACGAGCCGGAAGCAUAAAGUGUAAAGCCUNNNGUGCCUAAUGAGUGAGCUAACUCACAUUAAUUGCGUUGCGCUCACUGCCCGCUUUCCAGUCGGGAAACCUGUCGUGCCAGNUGCAUUAAUGAAUCGGCCAACGCGC
Molecule: ribosomal RNA, 918 nt
Filed under: uncultured bacterium
Lineage: Bacteria
Description: bacterial SSU rRNA
Rfam family: Bacterial small subunit ribosomal RNA (bases 1-710)
Source: RNAcentral